UGGGGAAUAUUGCGCAAUGGGGGAAACCCUGACGCAGCAAUACCGCGUGAGUGAAGAAGGUUUUCGGAUCGUAAAGCUCUGUUAUUGGGGAAGAAAAAAAGACGGUACCCAAGAAGAAAGUUCCGGCUAACUACGUGCCAGCAGCCGCGGUAAUACGUAGGGAACAAGCGUUGUCCGGAUUUACUGGGCGUAAAGGGCACGCAGGCGGUUUUUUAAGUCAGAUGUGAAAGGUACCGGCUCAACCGGUGACAUGCAUUUGAAACUGAAAGACUUGAGUAUUGGAGAGGCAAGUGGAAUUCCUAGUGUAGCGGUGAAAUGCGUAGAGAUUAGGAGGAACACCAGUGGCGAAGGCGGCUUGCUGGACAAAUACUGACGCUGAGGUGCGAAAGCGUGGGGAGCAAACA
RNAcentral lists this ribosomal RNA (404 nucleotides) under uncultured Acetobacterium sp. RNAcentral describes it as "partial 16S ribosomal RNA". It matches the Rfam family "Bacterial small subunit ribosomal RNA", at positions 355 to 774 of the family's 1533-position model. Lineage: Bacteria; Bacillati; Bacillota; Clostridia; Eubacteriales; Eubacteriaceae. The record is from RNAcentral.